UACGUAGGGGGCAAGCGUUGUCCGGAUUUAUUGGGCGUAAAGGGCUCGUAGGCGGUUUGUCGCGUCGGGAGUGAAAUCCACUGGCUUAACUGGUGGCUUGCUUUCGAUACGGGCAGACUGGAGGUAUGCAGGGGAGAACGGAAUUCCUGGUGUAGCGGUGAAAUGCGCAGAUAUCAGGAGGAACACCGGUGGCGAAGGCGGAUCUCUGGGCCAUAACUGACGCUGAUGCACGAAAGCUAGGGGAGCAAACAGG
RNAcentral lists this ribosomal RNA (253 nucleotides) under uncultured bacterium. RNAcentral's name for it is "partial 16S ribosomal RNA". It matches the Rfam family "Bacterial small subunit ribosomal RNA", at positions 524 to 776 of the family's 1533-position model. The record is from RNAcentral.